This 483-nucleotide ribosomal RNA is filed under the name uncultured bacterium. RNAcentral's name for it is "bacterial SSU rRNA". It matches the Rfam family "Bacterial small subunit ribosomal RNA", at positions 28 to 508 of the family's 1533-position model. The record is from RNAcentral.
GACGAACGCUGGCGGCGUGCUUAACACAUGCAAGUCGAACGGAGCGCUUUGGAAAGAGACUUCGGUCAAUUGAAGGAGUUGCUUAGUGGCGGACUGGUGAGUAACGCGUGAGGAACCUGCCUUUCAGAGGGGGACAACAGUUGGAAACGACUGCUAAUACCGCAUGAUGCAUGAUCGGGGCAUCCCGGACAUGCCAAAGAUUUAUCGCUGAAAGAUGGCCUCGCGUCUGAUUAGCUAGUUGGUAGGGUAACGGCCUACCAAGGCGACGAUCAGUAGCCGGACUGAGAGGUUGACCGGCCACAUUGGGACUGAGAUACGGCCCAGACUCCUACGGGAGGCAGCAGUGGGGAAUAUUGGGCAAUGGACGCAAGUCUGACCCAGCAACGCCGCGUGAAGGAAGAAAGGCUUUCGGAUCGUAAACUUCUAUCAACAGGGAAGAAACAAAUGACGGUACCUGAAUAAGAAGCCCGGCUAACUACGUAG